CUUCGGAGCAUUUUACGAGGUGCUGCAUGGUUGUCGUCAGCUCGUGCCGUGAGGUGUCGGGUUAAGUCCCAUAACGAGCGCAACCCCUACCUUACGUUGCCAUCAGGUUAAGCUGGGGACUCUAAAGGAACUGCCUACGCAAGUAGUGAGGAAGGCGGGGAGUGACGUCAAAUCAGCACGGCCCUUACGUCCAGGGCUACACACGUGCUACAAUGGCCGAUACAGAGGGCAGCUACCUGGUGACAGGAUGCAAAUCUCCAAAGUCGGUCUCAGUUCGGAUCGGAGUCUGCAACCCGACUCCGUGAAGUUGGAUUCGCUAGUAAUCGCGCAUCAGCCAUGGCGCGGUGAAUACGUUCCCGGGCCUU
Molecule: ribosomal RNA, 365 nt
Filed under: uncultured Sphingobacteriales bacterium
Lineage: Bacteria; Pseudomonadati; Bacteroidota; Sphingobacteriia; Sphingobacteriales
Description: bacterial SSU rRNA
Rfam family: Bacterial small subunit ribosomal RNA
Source: RNAcentral